CACCCUGGCGGCGAGCGGCGAACGGGUGAGUAAUGCAUCGGAACGUAUCCUGGAGUGGGGGAUAACCCAGCGAAAGUUGGGCUAAUACCGCAUAAGCUCUGAGGAGGAAAGCGGGGGACCUGCAAGGGCCUCGCGCUGCAGGAGCGGCCGAUGUCCGAUUAGCUAGUUGGUGGGGUAAAGGCCUACCAAGGCGACGAUCGGUAGCUGGUCUGAGAGGAUGAUCAGCCACACUGGGACUGAGACACGGCCCAGACUCCUACGGGAGGCAGCAGUGGGGAAUUUUGGACAAUGGGGGCAACCCUGAUCCAGCCAUGCCGCGUGAGUGAAGAAGGCCUUCGGGUUGUAAAGCUCUUUCGGACGGAACGAAAUGGUUACGGUCAACACCCGUGACUGAUGACGGUACCGUAAGAAGAAGCACCGGCUAACUACGUGCCAGCAGCCGCGGUAAUACGUAGGGUGCGAGCGUUAAUCGGAAUUACUGGGCGUAAAGCGUGCGCAGGCGGUUUCGUAAGCUGGAGGUGAAAUCCCCGGGCUCAACCUGGGAAUGGCCUUCAGGACUGCGAGGCUAGAGUGCGGCAGAGGGAGGUGGAAUUCCACGUGUAGCAGUGAAAUGCGUAGAUAUGUGGAGGAACACCGAUGGCGAAGGCAGCCUCCUGGGCCAGCACUGACGCUCAUGCACGAAAGCGUGGGGAGCAAACAGGAUUAGAUACCCUGGUAGUCCACGCCCUAAACGAUGUCAACUAGGUGUUGGGGAAGGUGACUUCCUUAGUACCGCAGCUAACGCGUGAAGUUGACCGCCUGGGGAGUACGGCCGCAAGGUUAAAACUCAAAAGGAAUUGACGGGGACCCGCACAAGCGGUGGAUGAUGUGGAUUAAUUCGAUGCAACGCGAAAAACCUUACCUACCCUUGACAUGCCAG
Molecule: ribosomal RNA, 919 nt
Filed under: uncultured bacterium
Lineage: Bacteria
Description: bacterial SSU rRNA
Rfam family: Bacterial small subunit ribosomal RNA
Source: RNAcentral